Molecule: non-coding RNA, 71 nt
Organism: Stegodyphus mimosarum
Lineage: Eukaryota; Metazoa; Arthropoda; Arachnida; Araneae; Eresidae
Source: Rfam
GUCUUCGUGGUGUAACGGUAGCACAUUCGGCACGUAUUCGAAAUGUCCAGGUUCGAGUCCCAGCGAGGGCA